GACGAACGCUGGCGGCGUGCCUAAUACAUGCAAGUAGAACGCUGAAGGAAGGAGCUUGCUCUUUCUGGAUGAGUUGCGAACGGGUGAGUAACGCGUAGGUAACCUGCCUGGUAGCGGGGGAUAACUAUUGGAAACGAUAGCUAAUACCGCAUAAAAUUGAUUAUUGCAUGAUAGUCAAUUAAAAGGUGCAACUGCACCACUACCAGAUGGACCUGCGUUGUAUUAGCUAGUUGGUGGGGUAACGGCUCACCAAGGCGACGAUACAUAGCCGACCUGAGAGGGUGAUCGGCCACACUGGGACUGAGACACGGCCCAGACUCCUACGGGAGGCAGCAGUAGGGAAUCUUCGGCAAUGGACGGAAGUCUGACCGAGCAACGCCGCGUGAGUGAAGAAGGUGUUCGGAUCGUAAAGCUCUGUUGUAAGAGAAGAACGAGUGUGAGAGUGGAAAGUUCACACUGGGACGGGAUCUUACCUGAAAGGGACGGCUAACUACGG
Molecule: ribosomal RNA, 496 nt
Filed under: uncultured bacterium
Lineage: Bacteria
Description: partial 16S ribosomal RNA
Rfam family: Bacterial small subunit ribosomal RNA
Source: RNAcentral